Molecule: transfer RNA, 65 nt
Filed under: Dipodomys ordii (Ord's kangaroo rat)
Lineage: Eukaryota; Metazoa; Chordata; Mammalia; Rodentia; Heteromyidae
Rfam family: tRNA
About the family: Transfer RNA (tRNA) molecules are approximately 80 nucleotides in length. Their secondary structure includes four short double-helical elements and three loops (D, anti-codon, and T loops).
Source: Rfam by way of RNAcentral
GGUAGCUUAGUGGUAGAGUGCUUGCCUUGCAUGCAUGAGGCCUUGGGUUCGAUUCCCCAGAACCA